Molecule: RNA transcript, 1725 nt
Organism: Alnus glutinosa
Lineage: Eukaryota; Viridiplantae; Streptophyta; Magnoliopsida; Fagales; Betulaceae
Gene name: tRNA-specific adenosine deaminase TAD3
Exons: 11
Source: RefSeq, a predicted model, not a curated record
CCUGUUUUGCACGCUCUCUGAUUUGGCUUCACAUCUUUCUCAUUCAUAGCUCAGAAAAACAGGUAAUUGAGAGGGAUAGCAAACACAAGCAAUGAACAAGAGCACAGACUCGUGGGAAAUCCUUCACAUCCCAGACAAACCUCCAACACCGCCUGACCAACAACCCACCGUGAAUGCUUUUGCUUCAGUUAUUGAGCCAAAGCUCGCCAACACUCUGGUAAGGCGUUUAAAUCAGAUAGCGCCACUGGAGUCUCUCCGCCAUGUGAAGCGUGUGCAUAAGAAAUAUCUUGAAGGAGGGAAAACUCAGUUAUCAGUGAUUUUAUGUCUAGCAUGUGAAAAUGACACUCAGUUGGACAGUAUGCCGCAUGGUGUACGGGAGCUAGUCAAUUCCUACCAGUUGAGUCCUUUUAUUACAAAAGUUUGCAAAUUUGAUGCAUCAUCAAAGGAAGAGUGGGAAGAACAGUGCAAGCUUUGGCCAACAUCAUAUCAUCCACCAACUUACAAUAUUGAUGGCAUUACUGGAUUUAGCGAAGAGGACUCACAAUUCGUUUUCAGCUUCAUGAGAUUUGCUGUUGAGUUGGCAAAAUCUGAUCAUGGUUUGGUAGUGAAUGCUGCAGUGAUUGUGGAUCCUUCAGUUAAGCAAGUAAUUGCUAGUGCAUGUGAUGAAAGUUGCUGUUGGAAUACUCCCACUAACAAAACCAGCAUUCGACCUUGCUCCUUGAAACAGCCAGAAGAUUGUAUUUCCCAUCCUGAUUCCAAUAUAGUAGUAACCCAUGACAGCUUACUUCCAAAUGAUUCCCCCACUAAACUUGAACAAUUAUGUACUGGCGUUUCUUGUUUAUACCCUUGGCAGUGGUCUGAAAAACAACCACAUACACCAAAUUCUUGUUAUUGGCACCCUUUACGACAUGCUGCACUUGUCGCCAUUGAAUCCUCUGCUGCUAGGGACAGGCAACUUUUCUCUGGUUUGGGAGACAUUGAAGAUAAAUCUUCCGAGUUGGAUCAUACGCAGUCUUCUUUCACAAGCUCUCCAGCUAAAAGACAAAAAAUCAAUCUUAAAAAUGUUGAGGAUGAUGAGAAACUGGAUACUCUUACUGAAGGGCAUCAUUCUGUAGUAGCCAGACCUUAUCUAUGUACUGGGUAUGACAUCUACCUUGUUUGGGAGCCAUGUACAAUAACUAGCAACUGCUUUGGCCGCCCAAUAUGAGAGAUUGAAGUCGCUGACAGAUUGUGUAGCACUGCUCUUGACAAUCUUUUAUGCUGCUUCUAUGCAUUGGGCGCUCAAGUUUAUCCAACAGAUAAAAAUAUAGUCUGGCAGCCUAAGCAUAAUUGGGCCAGAUUGACAUCUGGAACUUUGUGACCGUUAUUCUCCAUCGUCUAACCAGCCUUGCUUGUACAAGCACAAGGUUGUAAGUGAGUUGAGCUGCUUGUGAGUCGUUCAGGCUUUGGUCAGUUUGUUCAUUUAGACAGAUUUAGUAAAAGAGCCAAGCAGGGGCACAAGUUCAGGCUCACUAAACAAGCUAAGCUUGAGCCGCAUCAAAUUCUGCUUGUGGGCUUGUGCACCUCCAUGUGGUGGUUUAACACUCAUGGUGUGCAAUGGCACUUGUUCAUCAAAGAAUUAGGCGCAUAUUUUAUGCUUUUCCAAAUCUCAAUGCUGGUGCCUUGGGCAGUGUUCACAGAUUACAGGGAGAGAAAAGCUUAAAUCAUCGCUUUGCUGUUUUCAGG